This 468-nucleotide ribosomal RNA is filed under the name uncultured bacterium. RNAcentral's name for it is "partial 16S ribosomal RNA". It matches the Rfam family "Bacterial small subunit ribosomal RNA", at positions 28 to 507 of the family's 1533-position model. The record is from RNAcentral.
GACGAACGCUGGCGGCGUGCUUAACACAUGCAAGUCGAACGGAAAGGCCCUGCUUUUGUGGGAUGCUCGAGUGGCGAACGGGUGAGUAACACGUGAGUAACCUGCCCUUGACUUUGGGAUAACUUCAGGAAACUGGGGCUAAUAUCGGAUAGGAGCUCCUUCUGCAUGGGGUGGGUUGGAAAGUUUCGGCGUUUGGGGAUGGACUCGCGGCUUAUCAGCUUGUUGGUGGGGUAGUGGCUUACCAGGGCUUUGACGGGUAGCCGGCCUGAGAGGGUGACCGGCCACAUUGGGACUGAGAUACGGCCCAGACUCCUACGGGAGGCAGCAGUGGGGAAUAUUGCACAAUGGGCGGAAGCCUGAUGCAGCAACGCCGCGUGCGGGAUGACGGCCUUCGGGUUGUAAACCGCUUUCGCCUGUGACGAAGCGUGAGUGACGGUAAUGGGUAAAGAAGCACCGGCUAACUACGUG